Molecule: transfer RNA, 68 nt
Filed under: Marmota monax (woodchuck)
Lineage: Eukaryota; Metazoa; Chordata; Mammalia; Rodentia; Sciuridae
Description: tRNA.Ala
Source: RNAcentral
GGUUGUGGCUUAGUGAUAAGAGCGCUCGCCUCGCAUGUGCAAGGCCCUGGGUUUGAUCCUCAGCACCA